UGGGGAAUCUUGGACAAUGGGGGCAACCCUGAUCCAGCCAUGCCGCGUGAGUGAUGAAGGCCUUAGGGUCGUAAAGCUCUUUCGCCUGUGAAGAUAAUGACGGUAGCAGGUAAAGAAACCCCGGCUAACUCCGUGCCAGCAGCCGCGGUAAUACGGAGGGGGUUAGCGUUGUUCGGAAUUACUGGGCGUAAAGCGCACGUAGGCGGACCAGAAAGUUGGGGGUGAAAUCCCGGGGGCUCAACCCCGGAACUGCCUCCAAAACUAUUGGUCUAGAGUUCGAGAGAGGUGAGUGGAAUUCCAAGUGUAGAGGUGAAAUUCGUAGAUAUUUGGAGGAACACCAGUGGCGAAGGCGGCUCACUGGCUCGAUACUGACGCUGAGGUGCGAAAAGUGUGGGGAGCAAAACAGGAUUAGAUACCCCUGGUAGUCCACACCGUAAAACGAUGAAUGCCAGUCGUCGGGUAGCAUGCUAUUCGGUGACACACCUAACGGAUUAAGCAUUCCGCCUGGGGAGUACGGUCGCAAGAUU
Molecule: ribosomal RNA, 527 nt
Filed under: uncultured bacterium
Lineage: Bacteria
Description: bacterial SSU rRNA
Rfam family: Bacterial small subunit ribosomal RNA
Source: RNAcentral